Molecule: ribosomal RNA, 301 nt
Filed under: uncultured bacterium
Lineage: Bacteria
Description: partial 16S ribosomal RNA
Rfam family: Bacterial small subunit ribosomal RNA
Source: RNAcentral
CAGCCGCCGCGGUAAUACGGAGGGUGCAAGCGUUAAUCGGAAUUACUGGGCGUAAAGCGCACGCAGGCGGUUUGUUAAGUCAGAUGUGAAAUCCCCGAGCUUAACUUGGGAACUGCAUUUGAAACUGGCAAGCUAGAGUCUUGUAGAGGGGGGUAGAAUUCCAGGUGUAGCGGUGAAAUGCGUAGAGAUCUGGAGGAAUACCGGUGGCGAAGGCGGCCCCCUGGACAAAGACUGACGCUCAGGUGCGAAAGCGUGGGGAGCAAACAGGAUUAGAUACCCGUGUAGUCCCUGUCUCUUAUAA